AGAGUUUGAUCCUGGCUCAGGAUGAACGCUAGCGGCAGGCCUAACACAUGCAAGUCGAACGGUAACAGAUCUCUCGGGAUGCUGACGAGUGGCGCACGGGUGCGUAACACGUAUGCAAUCUACCUCUAACUGGAGAAUAGCCCAGGGAAACCUGGAUUAAUACUCCAUAAUAUUACAACAUCGCAUGGUGAUGUAAUUAAAGCUUUGGCGGUUAGAGAUGAGCAUGCGCCCUAUUAGCUAGUUGGUGAGGUAAUGGCUCACCAAGGCAACGAUAGGUAGGGGGUCUGAGAGGAUUAUCCCCCACACUGGUACUGAGACACGGACCAGACUCCUACGGGAGGCAGCAGUGAGGAAUAUUGGGCAAUGGACGAAAGUCUGACCCAGCCAUGCCGCGUGCAGGAUGACGGCCCUAUGGGUUGUAAACUGCUUUUAUAUAGGAAGAAACUUUUCUACGUGUAGAAAACUGACGGUACUAUUUGAAUAAGGACCGGCUAACUCCGUGCCAGCAGCCGCGGUAAUACGGAGGGUCCAAGCGUUAUCCGGAUUCAUUGGGUUUAAAGGGUCCGUAGGCGGACUUUUAAGUCAGAGGUGAAAGCCUACAGCUUAACUGUAGAAUUGCCUUUGAUACUGGAAGUCUUGAGUAUAAUUGAAGUGGGCGGAAUAAGUCAUGUAGCGGUGAAAUGCAUAGAUAUGACUUAGAACACCGAUUGCGAAGGCAGCUCACUAAGCUAUAACUGACGCUGAGGGACGAAAGCGUGGGGAGCAAACAGGAUUAGAUACCCUGGUAGUCCACGCUGUAAACGAUCAUUACUCGCUGUUGGCGAUACACAGUCAGCGGCUAAGCGAAAGCGUUAAGUAAUGCACCUGGGGAGUACGUUCGCAAGAAUGAAACUCAAAGGAAUUGACGGGGGCCCGCACAAGCGGUGGAGCAUGUGGUUUAAUUCGAUGAUACGCGAGGAACCUUACCAGGGCUUAAAUGUAGAAUGACCUUCCCGGAAACGGGGAUUCUCUUCGGAGCGAUUUACAAGGUGCUGCAUGGUUGUCGUCAGCUCGUGCCGUGAGGUGUUAGGUUAAGUCCUGCAACGAGCGCAACCCCUAUCUUUAGUUGCCAGCGAUUCGGUCGGGGACUCUAAAGAGACUGCCAGCGCAAGCUGUGUGGAAGGUGGGGAUGACGUCAAAUCAACACGGCCCUUACGCCCUGGGCUACACACGUGCUACAAUGGUAGAGACAGAGGGCAGCCACCUGGUGACAGGGAGCGAAUCCUUAAACUCUAUCUCAGUUCGGAUCGAAGUCUGCAACUCGACUUCGUGAAGCUGGAAUCGCUAGUAAUCGCGCAUCAGCCAUGGCGCGGUGAAUACGUUCCCGGGCCUUGUACACACCGCCCGUCAAGCCAUGGAAGCCGGGGGUACCUGAAGUCGGUAACCGCAAGGAGCUGCCUAGGGUAAAACUGGUAACUAGGGCUAAGUCGUAACAAGGUA
Molecule: ribosomal RNA, 1479 nt
Filed under: metagenome
Description: bacterial SSU rRNA
Rfam family: Bacterial small subunit ribosomal RNA
Source: RNAcentral